Molecule: ribosomal RNA, 497 nt
Filed under: uncultured bacterium
Lineage: Bacteria
Description: partial 16S ribosomal RNA
Rfam family: Bacterial small subunit ribosomal RNA
Source: RNAcentral
GACGAACGCUGGCGGCGUGCCUAAUACAUGCAAGUCGAGCGAACAGACGAGGAGCUUGCUCCUUUGACGUUAGCCGCAGACGUGUGAGUAACACGUAUGUCAUCCACCUAUAUUUCUGGGAUCACCUCGGGAAACCGGCGCUAAUACCGGAGAAUAUUCCGCAGCGCGGGGGUCGAUAGUGAAAGAUGGCUUUUCUAUCACGUAUCGAUGGAUCUGGGCCGUAUUAGCUAGUUGGUAAGGUCACGGCCUACCAAGGCGACUAUUCGUAGACGACCUCAGAGGGUGGUCGGCCACAUUGGAGCGGGGACGCGGUCCAGACGCCUACGGGAGGCAGCAGUAGGGAAUCUUCCGCAAUGGGCGAGAGCCUUACGGAGCAACGCCGAGUGAGAGAUGAAGGUCUUCGGAUCGUAAAACUCUGUUAUUAGUGAAAAACAAACGUGUACGUAACUGUGCACGGCUUGACGGUACUUAAUCAGAAAGCCACGGCUAACUACGUG